CAGGACGAACGCUGGCGGCGUGCCUAAUACAUGCAAGUGGAACGCAGUAGUGAUCACCGGAGCUUGCUCCACCGAUUAGUACUGAGUCGCGAACGGGUGAGUAACGCGUAGGUAACCUGCCUUGAAGAGGGGGAUAACUAUUGGAAACGAUAGCUAAUACCGCAUAAAAUAGCGAGUUGCAUGACUGGCUAUUGAAAGGUGCAAUCGCAUCACUUCAAGAUGGACCUGCGUUGUAUUAGCUAGUUGGUAGGGUAACGGCCUACCAAGGCGACGAUACAUAGCCGACCUGAGAGGGUGAUCGGCCACACUGGGACUGAGACACGGCCCAGACUCCUACGGGAGGCAGCAGUAGGGAAUCUUCGGCAAUGGGGGGAACCCUGACCGAGCAAACCGCCGCGUGAGUGAAGAAGGUUUUCGGAUCGUAAAGCUCUGUUGUAAGAGAAGAACGGUAGGAAGAGUGGAAAGUUUCCUACGUGACGGUAACUUACCAGAAAGGGACGGCUAACUACGUGCCAGCCGCGGC
This 523-nucleotide ribosomal RNA is filed under the name uncultured bacterium. RNAcentral describes it as "bacterial SSU rRNA". It matches the Rfam family "Bacterial small subunit ribosomal RNA", at positions 25 to 518 of the family's 1533-position model. The record is from RNAcentral.